Molecule: small nucleolar RNA, 71 nt
Filed under: Lytechinus variegatus (green sea urchin)
Lineage: Eukaryota; Metazoa; Echinodermata; Echinoidea; Temnopleuroida; Toxopneustidae
Description: small nucleolar RNA SNORD18
Rfam family: Small nucleolar RNA SNORD18
About the family: U18 is a member of the C/D class of snoRNA which contain the C (UGAUGA) and D (CUGA) box motifs. It is encoded in introns of ribosomal protein L1 in Xenopus and human, and in introns of elongation factor 1 beta in yeast.
Source: RNAcentral
UAGAGAUGAUGAUAUACCAACUUCAGGUCCGUGUUUUUGAUUAACCGUGAUAAUACUGAAGUUCUGAUCUA